UGGUAAUAUAUAUUUUUCCUCCUUUAUGUCUCUGAUAGCACUGAAUUGUAGUCCCACAAAGUUUGGAAGAGAUAUCUUAGUACUUUGUGUAAGAUAUUUUCUGAAGAAUAAUUGCUGACUGUUUUGUUUUAUUAAAAUAUGUUACAUUAUUUAAAAAAAUCAUUUCACUAACAAUAUACUUUAAGUGCCUAAAAUUUUUGAUAUUGGCAACUUUUCCUCAAUAGUCACUGGGUAAUAAUCGUUAUGCUGUUGUUAUUCAUUUGAUCAGUCAUUAUUACGUUUUCCCAAAGAGAGAGAAAGUGUGUGUGUGUAUACAUAUAUAUGGUACAUUAUUUCUUUUGUUUGGUAUGUGAUUAAAUGUGAUUCCACAUAUAUCAUGUAGACAAGAAAGUGGACAUGUAUGGAUUUUUUUUCCAGGGAUGGAUUUAUUAAGACGUGUCUUGCAAGGAAGAUAUAAAAUACUUGAUAUACAGGUGAAAAAUGGUUGAGAAAUACAUUUAUUGAGUGGGAGCUCUAUAGUAAGCAUUUCAGUAUUUUAAGGAAUUAGGAAAAAAUAGUGAAAAUAGAGAUUCCCUUUCUAAAAUAAUUUGCAAGUUAGAAAAGAGAGGAUAAUGGCCACUGCAGUGUUUAUGAGAAAGAAAACUGCCAAAGAUAGUGGAAAAGAAGUAUACAACUAACUAAUGGUCUUACCAACUACUAUAUAUAGUUAAAUUUGCCAGACUCCCUGGGCGGAGACCCUGUGGGACUGCAUUGGAAAGGUCACAGAGAGGAGGUGAAUCUUGAGCAGAGUUUUCUCAGGGGUUAUGUAACAAAAACAAAACAAAAUGAGACAGAUAAUCAAGAAUCUACCUUUUAUAUUAGUGAAUUCUAUUUGGUAAUAACAGAUAUUAUAUGAGAAUUAUAUUUUUUGUUAUUUUGGUGGAAAAAGCAAAUUUGAUGUUUUGUUUAAAGAAUUUGUUAAUACAUGAAAAAUCUAAUAGGAAGCUGUAACCCAGAUGCUAAAGUACUCAAUACUUAAUGACUUUGAUUGAUUAAUCUCUUUUUUUUUAAUGUGGGUAGUAAUAGCAAAUUCUAAUAAACACAUUGUUCUUAUAUGUAGCUUAGCUUCUAGAUUUCAGAGUAAACCUGUAUACAUUGUUUUAAAAUGUUUAUUUAGUAUCUUUUAAAUUUAUCCUAGCAUUUUUAUUGUUUAUAAUUUUGAAUGUAAAAUAUGAACAUAUGCUUGUCAUGUGUCAUAUAUCUAAUAAUUUGUUUUAGAUAUUUUAGAAUUAAAAUAGUUCUGUAGGCAGUUAAAAAUCUAGAAAGCAGUAUAUCCUGCAGAAAUAUCUUAUUUAAACUAUCUUCUAGGAGUUCGCAUUGUGGCUCAGUAGGUUAAGGACCUGACAUUGGCUCUGUGAGGAUGCAGUUUUGAUCCCUGGCCUUGCUCAGUGGUUUAAGAAUCCGAUGUUGCCAUAAGCUGCAGCAUAGGUUGCAGAUGCAGCUUGGGUCCGGUGUUGCUGUGGCUGUGGCAUGGGCUGCAGCUACAGGUCUGAGUUGAACCUCUGGCCUGGGAACUUCCAUAUGCCACAGGUGCAGCUGUUUUUUUUUUAAAGUGUAUACAUACACACACACACACACACACACACACACACACACACACACACACACACACACACACACACAUAUAUAUUCUAAAGUUAGUUGAAUUCAAUUUUGUGUUUAGUUCAUCUCACUAUUAUUGUUAUUAUUAUUUUAAAAAUCAAGUGUGGCUCCCCAAUUCAGUAGAAAAAAUGAAUUGUUUUAGUGCAAUGAAGCAUGUUUUAUAGUUAGGCUGAAAUAUCUGAUCAGAUGCAAAUCUAUCCUUUCGUUAUUUAGAGCAAUGGACUGACAUAGUGACAACCCCAACAAUAAAAUAACCCCCCACUUUAAAUAUUGAAUCUUCCUAAUAUAUUUUGCUCUUUGUAAAUGAUAUCUAUUGUACAAAGUAGUGUUUCCUCAUAGAAAAUUAGAGAAAAAUAUUUCUUUUUUUUCUGGCAUGCCCACUGUAUGUGGAAGUUCCUGGACCAGGGAUCAAACCUGCGCCACUGAAGUGACCUGAGCUACAGCAGUGAAAACACUCAAUCCUUAACCCACUGUGCCACAAAGGAACUCCUAUAUCAUAGCUCUUUAAAAGUAGAUUUCAAACUUAAAAGGUUAUUAGGCUUAACUCCUAAAGAAAGAAUUGAAUCUAGUGUGUGAAAAUUUUGGUUCCUCUGUGCUUUGCCACCUCCUUAGACAGCUAAGGUGUGAAUUUAAGUUCUUAGAGGGCAGUGAUCAGGUUUUCUUUUUUUUUUUUUUUUCAUACUUCUCUUCCCCUUAUUCCUCACAAGGGGAUCUAUAAUGUUGAUUGUAUAGUUGGAUGUUGAUUAUGAUGUGCAGAUAAUAGCGAUAUUAUAAGUGAUGAAAUUUGAAAGGAAAUGUCUCAGUUUGCCGUUUUAUGAUGGCAUUUUAAAGCCAUUCUUGUAAUUCCCUGCAUGGCUCAGUGAUUAACAAACCUGACUGGGAUCCAUGAGGACGCAGGUUUGAUCCCUGGCCUUGCUUGGUGUGUUAAGGAUCUGGCGUUGUUGUGUUGGUUGCAGAUAUGGCUUGGAUCCCAUCUUGCUGUGGCUGUGGUAUAGGCCAGCAGCUGUAGCUCUGAUUCGACCCCUAGCCUGGAAACUUCCAUAUGCCUCGGGUGUGGCCCUAAAAAGCAAAAUAACUAAAUAAAUACAUAAAUAAAUAACCAUUCUUCUGUCUACAAACAAGUUGCUUAGUCAUUUAACAAGUAUUCAUUGAGUACCUACUGUGUGUCAGGGGCUGUGCCAGGUACUGGAAUUACAAUAUAGAGAAGAUAGACUUUUUUUUUUUAACUUUAUCAUAGGGGAAGACAAUUUAGGAAGAAUUAUCUGGUGUUUGUUGUUCUCCUUUCUUAACUGAAAAGCAUUGCUAUUAACUGCUUAAUAAACACUUUGUGGAAAGAGUAAUGGUAGUGAUUAUCACCUGAAGGAAAUGACUUAUGAAAACAAUUAUGUGACAGUUUUGGAGAAAACAGUGAGACUAUGAGAAUAGAUUAUUUUGAUUCACAAGUGUAACUUUUUUCAUCUGUAUGACCAAAGCUAUUUGUGUCCGGUAUAUAUGGUAAUAAUAAGCAUUCUCUAUGACAUCUUGUAGCCUGUAGCUUUUCUUGCAGGAAACUGGAAACAUGUCAGGAUGCCUUUCUGAACUCUGGCCUUGCUCCUAACUGGAGCCAUUGCACCAGGCUCUGAGAGGCAUUAGCACCAUACCAUUCAGAGGUGAGAAAAUCAAGAACUGUAGAGAAGUUUGGAGGAAGAGCAAGUACAUGGACUUCACAGUGAUGGUUGCAAUCAACGUAAGAAACAGAAGAAUAGAAAUGUGGCCUUGGGGGUAUACCCAGUAAUUUCUCCAAUUCUUCAGAUGUCAGCAGAUCUAUUGCAGAUUUUGCAUUUAACAUGUCAGUCUGAUGGGUGUCUGUGACUGACAGAAGUGACUAGGGGUGUGGGGAGUGGCAAGUUACUCGCAGGAGCCAUGAAAACAGUGUAUAAAGUUGGAAUUGGGAGCACUAAGCCUGAAACUCUGUUUUUAUCAUUUUUAGUUCUAUGACUUUCAGCAAGUGUUUUAAAGUUCCCGAGGCUCCAUUUCUUCUGUGUAAGAUGGAGAUAAUAACCAUCUUAAAAGCUUUUAAAGUAGGGCUAAAUGAGUUAAUGACUUGGAAAAGGCCUUGCUUAGUGACUCAGUCCUCAACACUUUGAGAUUGUUUGAGUAAAGGUAGAUAGGAUUUUCUAGGCUGUGGUGAUUUUUACAUUAUGCUUUUUAGUAUAUAGUUGUCUAGCUCACAUUUAGUGAGCACUUAAUUUGUUUCAUGCAUUGUUUUGUGAGUUUCAUCUUAUGACUUGUUGACUCCUCAAUGACUAUGUGAGGUAGAUCUUUUACUUUCCUUUCACAAGUGAGAACUCUGGGGUCGAGUUUCGUGACAGAGCCCAAAUUUGAACCUGAACAUGUGGCUUGUCCCUGGAGCUUUCUUAACCCUGCUUCUAGAUGGUGAAGUCACUCUAUCCACAUUAGGGCAGAAGGAACAAAAGAAAAUACUAUGUAGUGAGGGGUAAUCUCUACAUACUAAAAAGAUAAACUCAUUUUAACUUAUUCACCCAUUUGGAAAAGGAUUGAAAUGACCAUUUGUCUUAUCUUUGAUUUGUACAUUGUUUCUUUCAAUUUUGAAUAAUUAAUUCUGAUACAGAGUAAAAGUUGUAGUGAUUUCCAAUCAAAUCUUUUCUCUUAAGCUAAGCAGUCUUUCUCAUUUGUUGUUUCCUCUUAUUCUUUUGUGUUUUUGUAUGGGAUCCUGAAAUUGGAUGUGUUUAUUGUGUAGACCACAAAGGAUACCUAGGGAAGGUAAAGCAGCCUUAACGAGAGGAUUAAGCAAGUCAAGAGCCAUAUGUGAUAAUCCACCUCUUCAAAAAAUAGGCAUCCUGGCCUUUAUGAUUGGUUUAUGAUAGAAGACCUCCCUGUUUCACUCACACCAUGCUAAGUUAUGGUUUUCCUUACAAGCCUUAGAAUAUUUAUUUUCUUCUUCUUAGAAAAGCUGGGAUAUUUUUCUCAGGUUUGUUGAUAUCUGCUUGUAUCUGAGUAAAUGGACUCUAGAUCUUUCUGUGCUGAGAGUUUUCUGAGGAAAAUGGGUACAUGAACAAAGGACAGGUAUUUUGAUUUCCAUAAUAAAUUCUUUGUUGUAAUUUUCUAAAGAGAGGCAAAACUGUUUUUAUUUGGAAGUUCCCAGGCUAGAGGUCAGGUUCCCAGCCACAGCCACAGCCACACCAGAUCCCAGCCACAUUUGCAACUUAUGCUGCAGUUUGCCCCGGCAACACUGGAUCCUUAACCCAUUGAGCAAGGCCAGGAAUCGAACCCAGAUCCUCAUGGAUACUUGUCAGGUUCAUUACUCCUGAGCCACAACAGAAACUCCCAAAAUUGGUUUUGAAUUUUGGGUGCGUGCUUUGUGGAUUAUUUAGAUCAGAGAUUACGCGAUUUAUCAAUUAUCCUAAGAUUUGCAGGGCGAAUACUCCUUCACCCCCUGUUCCUUUAGCCUUCAUUCGUUUUUUGGUUCAAUGGAUUGAUUUUGUUUUUAGAUAUGACAGUGAGACUUAAUGAGAAGGAUAAUGUGGUGGAAUCAGAAGUGACUCCUCUUUCUCUUCUCUUAUUAUUACUGCUUUAUAAUAAUAAUAAUAAUAAUUGGCAGUGAUAGUAGCUGUAACAAAAAUAACUACAGUGUGGUGAUCAUGUUUUACGUGUCACCUGAAUUAUGUAAUAUAAUCAUUAUAUAGUUACCCACAGAAGUAAUAAGUGUAAGGGUUAAGUAGGUAUAUUAUAUCAUCAUUUAAAUGGUGAAGAAGUUGAGGUUAAAUACACUGAAUAAUUCUCCAGUCAGCUAGCAAGUAAGUGGCAGAGCUAAAAUCCAAACCCAUGACUGCCUCCUUCCUAUCUCAUAUUCUACUACUGCUAUUACCUCUUCAUU
Molecule: long non-coding RNA, 5518 nt
Filed under: Sus scrofa (pig)
Lineage: Eukaryota; Metazoa; Chordata; Mammalia; Artiodactyla; Suidae
Description: lncRNA (ENSSSCG00040076213.1)
Source: RNAcentral